RNAcentral lists this small nuclear RNA (24 nucleotides) under Arabidopsis thaliana (thale cress). Its description in RNAcentral is "snRNA_14507". The record is from RNAcentral. Lineage: Eukaryota; Viridiplantae; Streptophyta; Magnoliopsida; Brassicales; Brassicaceae.
GCCAUUUUUGGUAAGCAGAACUGG